RNAcentral lists this ribosomal RNA (274 nucleotides) under uncultured bacterium. RNAcentral describes it as "partial 16S ribosomal RNA". It matches the Rfam family "Bacterial small subunit ribosomal RNA", at positions 523 to 796 of the family's 1533-position model. The record is from RNAcentral.
AUACAGAGGGUGCAAACGUUGUUCGGAAUUACUGGGCAUAAAGCGCACGUAGGCGGUCUAGUAAGUGUGAAGUGAAAUCCCACGGCUCACCCGUGGAACUGCUUUGCAUACUGCUAGACUCGAGGAAGGUAGGGGAGAGCAGAACUCUUGGAGGAGCGGUGAAAUGCGUAGAUAUCAAGAGGAAUACCAGUGGCGAAGGCGGCUCUCUGGUCCUUUUCUGACGCUGAGGUGCGAAAGCUAGGGUAGCGAACGGGAUUAGAAACCCCAGUAGUCC